This 886-nucleotide ribosomal RNA is filed under the name uncultured bacterium. Its description in RNAcentral is "bacterial SSU rRNA". It matches the Rfam family "Bacterial small subunit ribosomal RNA", at positions 79 to 962 of the family's 1533-position model. The record is from RNAcentral.
UUCGGUCUGGUGGCGAGUGGCGAACGGGCGAGUAAUAUAUCGGAACAUACCCUAGAGUGGGGGAUAACGUAGCGAAAGUUACGCUAAUACCGCAUACGAUCUGAGGAUGAAAGUGGGGGAUCGCAAGACCUCAUGCUCAUGGAGUGGCCGAUAUCUGAUUAGCUAGUUGGUGAGGUAAAGGCUCACCAAGGCGACGAUCAGUAGCUGGUCUGAGAGGACGACCAGCCACACUGGAACUGAGACACGGUCCAGACUCCUACGGGAGGCAGCAGUGGGGAAUUUUGGACAAUGGGGGCAACCCUGAUCCAGCAAUGCCGCGUGAGUGAAGAAGGCCUUCGGGUUGUAAAGCUCUUUUGUCAGGGUAGAAACGGUGAUCGCUAAUAUCGGUUGCUAAUGACGGUACCUGAAGAAUAAGCACCGGCUAACUACGUGCCAGCAGCCGCGGUAAUACGUAGGGUGCAAGCGUUAAUCGGAAUUACUGGGCGUAAAGCGUGCGCAGGCGGUUAUAUAAGUCAGAUGUGAAAUCCCCGGGCCCAACCUGGGAACUGCAUUUGAGACUGUAUGGCUAGAGUGUGUCAGAGGGGGGUAGAAUUCCACGUGUAGCAGUGAAAUGCGUAGAUAUGUGGAGGAAUACCGAUGGCGAAGGCAGCCCCCUGGGAUAACACUGACGCUCAUGCACGAAAGCGUGGGGAGCAAACAGGAUUAGAUACCCUGGUAGUCCACGCCCUAAACGAUGUCUACUAGUUGUUGGGUCUUAAUUGACUUAGUAACGCAGCUAACGCGUGAAGUAGACCGCCUGGGGAGUACGGUCGCAAGAUUAAAACUCUAAGGAAUUGACGGGGACCCGCACAAGCGGUGGAUGAUGUGGAUUAAUUCGAUGCAACGC